RNAcentral lists this ribosomal RNA (1228 nucleotides) under uncultured bacterium. Its description in RNAcentral is "bacterial SSU rRNA". It matches the Rfam family "Bacterial small subunit ribosomal RNA", at positions 1 to 1233 of the family's 1533-position model. The record is from RNAcentral.
UGAGUUUGAUCCUGGCUCAGGAUGAACGCUGGCGGCGUGCUUAACACAUGCCAGUCCAACGCUGAAGCUCCCAGCUUGCUGGGGGUGGAUGAGUGGCGAACGGGUGAGUAUCACGUGAGGAACCUGCCCUGAACUGUGGGAUAAGCCUGGGAAACUGGGUCCAAUACUACAUAGGACGCUCCAUCGCAUGGUGGGGUGUGGAAAGCUUUUGCGGUUUGGGAUGGUCUCGCGGCCUAUCAGCUUGUUGGUGGGGUAAUGGCCUACCAAGGCUUUGACGGGUAGCCGGCCUGAGAGGGUGACCGGCCACACUGGGACUGAGACACGGCCCAGACUCCCUACGGGAGGCAGCAGUGGGGGAUAUUGCACAAUGGGGGAAACCCUGAUGCAGCGACGCCGCGUGAGGGAUGACGGCCUUCGGGUUGUAAACCCUCUUUCAGUUGGGAAGAAGCCCCUUUUGGGGUGACGGUACCUUCAGAAGAAGCCCCGGGCUAACUACGUGCCAGCAGCCGCGGUAAUACGUAGGGUGCGAGCGUUAUCCGGAAUUAUUGGGCGUAAAGAGCCUCCUAGGCGGUUUGUCCCGUCUGCUGUGAAACCCCAGGGCUUAACCCUGGGUUUGCAGGGGGUACGGGCAGGCUGGAGUGCAGUAGGGGAGACUGGAAUUCCUGGUGUAGCGGGGAAAUGCGCAGAUAUCAGGAGGAACACCGAGGGCGAAGGCAGGUCUCUGGGCUGUUACUGACGCUGAGGAGCGAAAGCAUGGGGAGCGAACAGGAUUAGAUACCCUGGUAGUCCAUGCCGUAAACGAUGGGCACUAGGUGUGGGGACCAUUUCCACGGUUUCCGCGCCGUAGCUAACGCAUUAAGUGCCCCGCCUGGAGAGUACGGCCGCAAGGCUAAAACUCAAAGGAAUUGACGGGGGCCCGCACAAGCGGCGGAGCAUGCGGAUUAAUUCGAUGCAACGCGAAGAACCUUACCAAGGCUUGACAUGCACUAGACCGCCCUAGAGAUAGGGUUUCCCUUUGGGGCUGGUGUACAGGUGGUGCAGGGUGGUGGUCAGCUCGGGUCGUGAGAUGUUGGGUUAAGUCCCGCAAGGAGCGCAACCCCUAUGCUAUGUGGCCAGCACGUAAUGGUGGGGACUCAUGGGAGACUGCCGGGGUCAACUCGGAGGAAGGUGGGGAGGAGGUCAAAUCAUCAUGCCCCUUAUGUCUGGGGCUUCAGGCAUGAUACAAGGA